AUUGAACGCUGGCGGCAGGCUUAACACAUGCAAGUCGAGCGGGGGAAGGUAGCUUGCUACCGGACCUAGCGGCGGACGGGUGAGUAAUGCUUAGGAAUCUGCCUAUUAGUGGGGGACAACAUCUCGAAAGGGAUGCUAAUACCGCAUACGUCCUACGGGAGAAAGCAGGGGAUCUUCGGACUUUGCGCUAAUAGAUGAGCCUAAGUCGGAUUAGCUAGUUGGUGGGGUAAAGGCCUACCAAGGCGACGAUCUGCAGCGGGUCUGAGAGGAUGAUCCGCCACACUGGGACUGAGACACGGCCCAGACUCCUACGGGAGGCAGCAGUGGGGAAUAUUGGACAAUGGGGGGAACCCUGAUCCAGCCAUGCCGCGUGUGUGAAGAAGGCCUUAUGGUUGUAAAGCACUUUAAGCGAGGAGGAGGCUACUUUAGUUAAUACCUAGAGAUAGUGGGCGUUACUCGCAGAAUAAGCACCGGCUAACUCUGUGCCAGCCGCCGCCGUAA
RNAcentral lists this ribosomal RNA (501 nucleotides) under uncultured bacterium. RNAcentral describes it as "partial 16S ribosomal RNA". It matches the Rfam family "Bacterial small subunit ribosomal RNA", at positions 30 to 523 of the family's 1533-position model. The record is from RNAcentral.